Myotis myotis is the source of this 708-nucleotide long non-coding RNA. RefSeq lists it as uncharacterized. NCBI's taxonomy places the organism in Eukaryota, Metazoa, Chordata, Mammalia, Chiroptera, Vespertilionidae. The record is from RefSeq and is a predicted model, not a curated record. The transcript is spliced from 3 exons.
CCCCUUGUCUGUCUGGUCUCUGCUUUUCUGUGGUACUUGAAGAGAAGUUGUUCGUGGUGGAUUCGCUUUACUUAUGACGAAUCAUUCACGGACAACACUUUUUUCAGUACCAAAUGCUACCUCUAAGGACUUCCUGGACACAGCGGAACUUCAGGAUGGCGUCUUCAUGUUGUCAGCCACGUGGAGAAGAUAGCGGAUGCUUGACCAGGGACACCCUGCUCGACCAUCUGUAAGUCAUCUGGUCCACUAGCCCGAACAUCCGAUCCAUCUGUAGGAGGCUUUCCCCUGGGCCAUGCCGACUCAGAGGAAAUGGCUCUGGUUCUGUCAACAGAGUCACCCUCCACGACUUUGAAGAGAGGCUGCCUGGGCCCAAAGCCAACUUCCCGAAGAGAUGCUGGUGUCAGCACCGUCCAGGCCUCCUUGAAGCGCUCCUGGGACGUGACAUUGCCUUCUGACGAGUGACCUGAAGCGAGCGGGCCAGCUCCUCUCCAUGGAGUUGGCCGUGGUUCAUUAAGAGCCAAAGGGAUACCAUGGCAUGCUGACUUCAUGGCAGCUGUCGAACGGUGCCCCUGUUGGCGAAACAGACGAACCGCAUCCACCUGCUUAGGGUAAGUGCGUCUCGGGUGAGCAUGCGAUUAACUGUAGUAGUAUGUCACUCGGCCCACUACCCAAUAUGGUUCCACCCCUUUUUUACAGGGCUCCGGGGAG